GAUGAACGCUGGCGGCGUGCCUAAUACAUGCAAGUCGAGCGAACGGACGAGAAGCUUGCUCCUCUGAUGUUAGCGGCGGACGGGUGAGUAACACGUGGAUAGCCUACCUAUAAGACUGGGAUAACUUCGGGAAACCGGAGCUAAUACCGGAUAAUAUUUUGAACCGCAUGGUUCAAAAGUGAAAGACGGUUUUGCUGUCACUUAUAGAUGGAUCCGCGCUGCAUUAGCUAGUUGGUAAGGUAACGGCUUACCAAGGCAACGAUGCGUAGCCGACCUGAGAGGGUGAUCGGCCACACUGGAACUGAGACACGGUCCAGACUCCUACGGGAGGCAGCAGUAGGGAAUCUUCCGCAAUGGGCGAAAGCCUGACGGAGCAACGCCGCGUGAGUGAUGAAGGUCUUCGGAUCGUAAAACUCUGUUAUUAGGGAAGAACAUAUGUGUAAGUAACUAUGCACGUCUUGACGGUACCUAAUCAGAAAGCCACGGCUAACUACGUG
Molecule: ribosomal RNA, 497 nt
Filed under: uncultured bacterium
Lineage: Bacteria
Description: partial 16S ribosomal RNA
Rfam family: Bacterial small subunit ribosomal RNA
Source: RNAcentral